GUUCGCUCGCUGGGCCCACGGGGCGCUUGCGCCCACACGCCCGCCCUCAGGUCCCGCCCGGCUGAGGUGCUGCUGCCCGAGCGGACAGCCGAGACGUGGCUCCCGGGCGGAAGGGCCAUGUUGGACUUCGCGAUCUUCGCCGUCACCUUCCUGCUGGCGUUGGUGGGAGCGGUGCUCUACCUCUACCCGGCUUCCAGACAAGCUGCAGGAAUUCCAGGGAUUACUCCCACUGAAGAAAAAGAUGGUAAUCUUCCAGAUAUUGUGAACAGUGGAAGUUUGCACGAGUUCCUGGUUAAUUUGCAUGAGAGAUAUGGGCCUGUGGUCUCCUUCUGGUUUGGCAGGCGCCUUGUGGUUAGUUUGGGUACUGUUGAUGUAUUGAAGCAGCAUAUCAACCCCAACAAGACUUCGGACCCUUUUGAAACCAUGCUCAAGUCAUUAUUAAGGUAUCAGUCUGGUGUUGGGAAUGUGAGUGAAAACCACAUGAGGAAAAAAUUGUGUGAAAAUGGUGUGACUAAGUCUCUGCAGAGCAAUUUUACUCUUCUGCUAAAGCUUUCAGAAGAAUUAUUGGAUAAAUGGCUCUCCUAUCCAGAGUCCCAGCAUGUACCUCUUUGCCAGCAUAUGCUUGGUUUUGCUAUGAAGUCUGUUACACAGAUGAUAAUGGGUAGUACAUUUGAAGAUGACCAGGAAGUCAUUCAUUUCCAGAAGAAUCAUGGCACAGUUUGGUCUGAGAUUGGAAAAGGCUUUCUAGAUGGAUCACUUGAUAAAAGUACAACUAGGAAAAAACAAUAUGAAAAUGCCCUUAUGCAAAUGGAAAAUACUUUAAAGAAAAUCAUAAAAGAACGAAAAGGAAGGGGCUUCAGUCAACAUAUUUUCAUUGACUCCUUAGUACAGGGGAACCUUAAUGAACAACAGAUCCUAGAAGACAGUGUGAUAUUUUCUCUGGCCAGUUGCAUAAUAACUGCAAAAUUGUGCACCUGGGCAAUCUGUUUUUUAACCACUUCUGAAGACAUUCAGAAUAAACUAUAUGAAGAGAUAGACCGGGUUUUUGGGAAGGGUCCUGUUAAUCCAGAGAAAAUUGAGCAACUCAGAUAUUGUCGGCAAGUGCUUUGUGAAUCUGUUCGGACUGCCAAACUGACCCCAGUUUCUGCUCGGCUUCAAGAUAUUGAAGGAAAGAUUGACAAAUUCAUUAUUCCUCGAGAGACCCUUGUCCUUUAUGCCCUUGGUGUGGUACUUCAGGAUCCUAAUACUUGGCCAUCACCACUCAGGUGGACUGAAGGAGGGCUCGGAAAGCCAGGAAUGUGUCCUCUCUCCAGCUGCCAUGCAGCAAAGUAUGACUACUGCUGGGCUGAACAGCCAGGUUUGAUCCAGACCGGUUUCAUGAUGAAUCAGUAAUGAAAACUUUUUCCUUGCUUGGAUUCUCAGGCACACAGGAAUGCCCAGAGUUAAGGUUUGCAUAUAUGGUGACUACAGUACUUCUGAGUGUAUUGGUGAGGAGACUGCACCUAUUCUCUGUGGAGGGACAAGUUAUUGAGACUAAGUAUGAACUGGUAACAUCAUCCAAGGAAGAAGCUUGGAUCACUGUCUCAAAGAGAUAUUAAAAUUUUAUACAUUUAAUUUUGUUGAGGAAAAUAAUUGUUUAGAAAAUCUAUAUUGAAUCUUUUUAUAAACCAAGUAUCAUUGUGUAAUAUAAAUAACUGUAACUGUUACUCCUUCAUUAUAUAAAUUUGGAUUUUCUUAAUUCAUGAUACACAUGUAUGCUUAUAUCAAUGUGAUAAUUUUAAUGGGAAGCUUUCUACUUUUAAUAUUUGUUUAAUCACUUUUAUGUCAUUAUUUUUAAUGUUUUUUUUAGUUGAUGUCCAAUAUUAGUAUUUUUGGAGAGAGAAAUUAUUUUGCACAAUCUUGGGGAUCACAUUUUCUACUUGUUCAUAAAAGAGAGACAUAAUCCUAACUCCUUUUCAUAUAUCCAGCAAUUCACCCUAAAGCAAAAACAAAAGGGACUUACUAGAAUUUUAUUUCUUUACUAAUAUUUUUAAUUUUCUGAGUGUAAAUUAGUUUGUAUUCAAUCAUCGUUGUUAGGGGUGAAUAACCUAUUGUGUAUUUGCUAUUUUUAUGCUUCCCCAGACAAUCAUGUUCAUUCCAUGACUUAUAUAUACAAGGCUCAUCAUUUUGAACAGUUCUGAAUCAUUUGGAAAAUAAUAUAGUUUAUUUCUUUAUGUGCUUUGAAGUGCUCCUCAUAGUCAAACUGAUAUUGAGGCUUGUCUCUCCUGUUUUACUGGAAAUCAUAUUAGCACUAUAUUACUCCACUAAUUCUCAUUUGUGGAGAAAACAGAGUUCCUAAAUUUGUAAUUUAUUAUUAUGUCAUAUACUAAACUUAAUGAACAUAUGUGAGCUCUAACCAAAACCCAAAAUCAAAUUAAAAAAAGAGAAAACAAAGAUGAGUGAAAAUAUUUGCAAAAUAUAUGACUGAAAGGGGUAGUUUACAUAUUAUGUAUGAAGAGCUUAUACAGACUGGCAAGGAAACAUACAGUAGAUAAAUGGACAAAGGGUAUGAAUAAGCAGGUUUUAUAGAAGGAAAUAGCUAAUAAAUAUUUAAAAAACAGUAUCAAAGAAAUAUUGGGGUUAUUUUUAAGUAUCUUUCAAAACAUACUUUAUUACUCAUAAGUUUUAUAUUUAAUAAUUUUUUUGAUAGCAUUGUAUGUUAGUCCUCCUUUUUGGUUACACUGUUCUUGAAGAUUUCUUUUUUAUAAAUACAUUUUGUUCAGAUAGCAACUGAAGGAAAUACGCCAAAUGCAAAUAGGAGAGGAAGAAAAAUGAUACAUGUUUGCAAGUGGGCUUAUUUUUGAUACUGCUGAAUUUCACUUGUACUUGAGUUUCAAGAAUGUACCCUAGUUAUUGAGCUAUUUUAUGCUGUUUAUGGUCUAAUAGGUAACACUUUAGUUGGAGUGGUUAACAGAGUGCUUAAGUGGUUAGAUGCAGACUUUAUUUCUGACAAAAAUAUUUAUGGAAUAAUUUAAAUUAUAAAACUUUAAGUGAAAUGUAUUCUUAGUACUUAGCAGCAUGUUUCUAAAAAGUCCUGUUGUUAAUUUAUUCUCUCCUACCUAUCGUUUUCUAUAGUUUUGUAUAUGGAGAACAUCUUCAUUUGUUAUCCAGGUAUCUUGACUGGUUUAGAAAUAGGCUGUGAAAAGUUAGAGUAGGCAAUUGAUAUGUAAACUGAAUGUCAAUAAAGUUAAAUGAGGUUAAGUGGAAUUUUAAAGUAAGCAAAAUCUGAUCAGCAAUGAUCAGGGCACAAAAAGGAGGCUGAGCCAAGAAUCAGGGAGUUGGCAUAUGGCCAGUAAAUGAGGCAAUGUAUAAUACUAGUGAUGAUUGGAAUCAAGGAAAAUAGAGGAUAGAAGAAUCAGCUAAACACAUUUCAUCCAUACUUAUAUGACUAAAGCCAUUUAAAAAUUAUCUUCUUGAGGAUUUUUAGAAAAUAAAAUACUGCUAAUUAUGUAUAAAAUAAGUUAUCCAUUCACUAUUGUUCCUACUUGGCUCUUUGUAUUUAUUAAAUGAAGUUUUAGUGACACUGAUGGCUCAUAGCAUGACUCCAGCAGGGCUGUUAAAUUUUGUUGAUUUUUGGUUCUUUUAAACUAGCUCUUCAUUUUUUUUGAUCUGCAUUCUUUUUGAUAGUUCAGAAAUCUAUUGUUAAAAACAUCAGCAUAACAAACACAUGUUUUAUGGAAUGAAAGGGCUCUUCCAUACUUGGUGCUAAUAAAAUUCAAGGCAGAAUUAACUCUGUGCCUUUGUUUGGGAAAAAUGAAAAAUUCGCAUGCUGUUUACCUGGCCCACAAGUGUUCCAUUCUAUUCUUUAAUAUGAAGUCUAUCUUAUUUAUAGACUGUCAAAAUCUGUUUUCUGUAUUCUUGUUUCUCAAAAUAGUUUUUAUUUUAAAAACAAAAAGUUCUUUUUUUUAAGAAAAUUAUAUAAGUUUAUUUCCUAUAGAAAAAACCUAAAUACAGAAACACACACACACAAAAAAAAUGUUACAAACCAAAUACUUUUUAUACCUAUUUCAUUUAGUCAUUAGGAGCCACAGGAAAUCAGUCCCACUACUUGAAGUUAGCCAGUGUCAAGCUUGCUUCUGAGGUAGAUCUUGUUCCUUUCUUUUUUAUCCACAUAUAAUUUUUACAGACAUUACACAUAAUAUUCUCUUCAUUUUCUAUUUACAAACCAGUAGCAUUUUCUACAAUUAGAACAUUAGUAUUCUUCUUACUCAGAAUGUAAACACAGGUUUUUGUUAUCCUUACUUUUUCUCUCCUUAUUUCCCUUCUCAGAUAUUAUUCAUUUCAACUUUAGAAUUGGCCUUAUAUUUCCAUCCAUUCUAUCAAAAACAGUUAUUUGUAUAUCUAAGUUGCUAAAGUCACAGGACACUGAGGUGUUACAAUGAGCAUUUAAGAAAUGGAACUCCUCCACUGUCUAAGAAAACUCUUUAGUAUAAUUAAGUUCAAGCUGAAAUGGCAUUUCAACUUUUAAGGGAAAAUCUUAAGAACUUUCUCAUUGUUUUGGGCUCUGGAGCAAACAGAUUAAGAUUCUUCCCUGAAGCCAACUUUAUUUUUUUCUUCAGAUCCAUAAAGAGGACUGUUAACCUUUAAGGUGCUCUUUUUUCACACAUGGUUAUGUUGACAGGUUGAAAACUGCUUAAAAAACACAAUUCUAUUCUUAAAACAGGACAUGACCAGUAGCAUCAGAGAGUAGCUUGGUAGCUGUGAGAAGAUAGCUCUGAGAGAAAUGGACACUAUUUUCAAGGGCUGGUUUUUAUAAUGUCAUCAAAUUGAUACUAGUGACCUUUGUUUCUUCUUAACCAGUGUUAGGCUUGUUUCCUAAGUUAUUAGACCAAUGAUUAAGGUACAAAGGGAGGAGUUGGGUGGUGGGGGGUAAUAUGGCAACAAAGCAGUUACUGUCACUAAGGAAAUUAGAGGAAAUCAGUACAGCCAAAAGGCUUAAUAAUACAGUGUUGCUUUGAGGACUUGUGAGUGACCUGCACUGAUAAAAGGAGUGAAACUGAAACUGGUAAAAACUGAAUAUAGAAUUUGGGACUGAGAUGAGCAUUCGUUAUAAAUCAAAUACUUUAUAUACCUAUCUCAGUUAGUUUUUAUAGCAUAACAGUAGAUUCUGUGACAAACUAAAAUACUUUUUUAUUCCUUCUAAACAAAUGCAGACAAGUACUAGCUAAGAAAAAGUAAGUAAAAGAUCUAAAUUUCAAAUUAUCCUAAUAUCUUCAAUGGUGUUUAUUGGUAUACUUUGUUUUUAUUUAAGAGGGAAUCAGCAGUAGUUUCAAAUGAUGUACUAUUCAUAAUAGCUGAAGAAAAUGAUCUAAAAAGUAUUGAAUCUAAUGCCUAAUCAACCAUGUUUGUACUGUUUAAAUUUUUUGCUGUUUCCACAUACUUUUUUUUAUGUAUUGCAAUCAUAAUGUCUACUUUUCACUUAAUGAAUUUUAAACAUAUUCCUUUGUUACUUUAUUAUUGUAAGGGCUUUGGUGAAUAGAUGUUUUUUUGGUUAAACUUUUAAAAUAGAAAUCAGUUUAAUGUUUAAUGUAUAUAAUUUUAUGACAGUGAGUGAAUGGAUAGCUACAAUUUGAGUUGGGAACCAUUUUGCAAAACAUUCAGGCAAUAAACAGAAAGGCAGGAAAGGACAUUCCUUCUUACAGUUCUACCUCCCAUAAUUGGUGUAGGUUGGUUGCUGUCUUUCUAGAGAGUGGAAAUGGAUCUUCUGAAUAGCAUGUGAUAAAGUGCUGUGAACAAAUAAGUCAUAAAUAUCCUGCUUGGUAGCUUAAACACACACAUGCACAUGCACACAUACACACACACAUUUAUUUACACCUAAAAUACUUGCUAAUGCUUGUUUCAAUUUUUAACACAGUUACAUCCCCAUUGUACCUAAUCAUAGAUAAAGUGUAAAGUGCCUGUUUCCAAAAAGGCAAUCUAAGUAUUUUUGAAUGAAUUAAGUCAUUGAAUUUUUCUGUGCAUGUAGAAUAAAAUUAAGGAAAUUACUGAAAUUACUUAAUAGUUGACAAAGAUUUCCAGAUAGUCAAACUACCCUGAAAGCUACCAGUACUUUGUAAUAAUGCUAUGUAACCCAUUACUGGAAGUAUUUAAUAUGUUGUGUGGACAGAUUUCAGUGGUGCCUUUAUUAGAUGUGAACAUAGAUUUAUAAUAGGCUAUAGUUACACAAAAUACCAAGCAAAUAGUUGGUAGGCCAGUAGUCCAUUCUCCCCUCUGUAUCUAAUCACUAGAUCAUCAUUAAGCUAGGAAAUGUUUAUAGAUCAGUUUUUUUACCAGGUUAUUGAAAGCAUUAUUUUCCAAAGUGUAUCUUAUGGAACACUGUCCUGUGAGAUACUUAGAGAAAAAAUUUCCAUGAUCAUUUUCAUUCUCAGAUUCUCUAUACUAUAUUGUCCCUCACAUAUUUAUAAUACAUAUGAAUAUAUUAUAAGUGCUGAGAAGUUCUAGUAUGAAGGAACCUAUUGUAACUUGGCAUAAUACUUAAUGUUCCAAAGGUAUUUGAUGAAGAUAGCCUUCUUUUUUUUCAGUUAUACAUAUUAUCCCAUAAAACCAGUAUUUCAUGGAAGUAGUGUUCUAUAGAGUAGAACCCAUUUUGUCCAACAUGAUCUAGAGACAAAGAAACAUCUGCCUUGGCUAGUUCCUUGAAUAAUGCGUGGUCCAAGAUUCACUGGACUAGGAAUGAUCAUAGUCUUAAACCAUCUGAAUUCCAUACUCCAAAGAAAUUCAUAUUCCCUUACCUCUACCUCUUCUCUGUCAGAGCACAGCAUCCUCUAGCCCUGCUGAAGUCUUUCCUAUAGCCCUGUCCUGGCUUUCAUUCCUAUCCAAAGAAACGGAAUCUAUUUAGUAUGGCAUCAGCUUUUUAUUAAACUCUAAUGCAUGCCAGAUCUUAUGUUGGGCACUAAGGAUAUAGCAGUGGACAAAACAGACAUGAUAUCUGUUCUCUCCCUUCUGUGCUUCACCCCAGGAGGGAGUGCUGCAAAGUCUCAUGUCCCAAAGUGUAACCUAGGACUCAGAGCUCUCUAGGUCCUGGGUUUAGAAGCUGCUCAAGGCCCCUUCAGGUUAGUGGUGAAAGGAACACAGGAAGGAACUCAGAGAUGACUACAUGACAAAGAACAUAGGCUUCGGUUACAGGUUGUAGUGGGAGAGGAAGUACAAAUAACAGGAGCCAAACCCAUUAUUUUUGCUAUUUUUAGUGUAUGAGCAAGAGAAACUAGGUAUCUUUUCAAGGACUGUUAGGAUUGAUGCUAAAUGGGAAUACUGGAGAACUUUCACAGUGAGAAGAAACAAAGCUAAGAAUUGGUUAGACUAGGUUAAGGAACAAUCUAUAGUCAUUUAAAUGAAUCAUUGCUUAAUUAUACAGCAUCAUUAGGUGUGUUCAACUUUCAUGAUUUGUUGCUUGUGUUACAAGGUCAUCAUUUAAUAGAGAAUUGAUUUUUAGAGCUUAAAAGGAUUGUAGAGAUUAUAUGGCAUAGCCUGCCCACAGUUUAAAAAUUUAGAAGGAGAAGCAGCCUAGGGCUUCUGGGAGCAGCAGACUUUCACUCUGCAUUUUUCUCAUAUCCUUCAGAAAAUAUGUGCUUAGAACUAUGCUGCCAUUUUAGUUAAAGGAUUUUGUUAAGCUUUCAGGUAAGUGUAGAUUCAGAAAGAAUUGGAAAAUUAAAAAAAAA
This is an RNA transcript of Manis javanica (Malayan pangolin), 7697 nucleotides long. It is a transcript of the gene named cytochrome P450 family 20 subfamily A member 1, with no coding region annotated. The record is from RefSeq and is a predicted model, not a curated record. Lineage: Eukaryota; Metazoa; Chordata; Mammalia; Pholidota; Manidae.